GAGUUUGAUUCUGGCUCAGCGCGAACGUUGGCGGCGUGCCUAACACAUGCAAGUCGUGGGGCAGCAGGCUACUGUCUUUUUGCAGUAGUGCUGGCGACCGGCAAACGGGUGNNAACACGUAGCUUACCUACCCAUAGGUUGGGGAUAACAUCCCGAAAGGGGUGCUAAUACCCAAUAAUGAGGAGACUCCAAAGCCCUUAUGGGUGCCUAUGGAUGGGGCUGCGUCCCAUCAGCUUGUUGGUGAGGUAAUGGCUCACCAAGGCUACGACGGGUAACCGGUCUGAGAGGAUAACCGGUCACAGUGGGACUGAGACACGGCCCGCACCCCUACGGGGGGCAGCAGCGGGGAAUAUUGGGCAAUGGCUGAAAGGCUGACCCAGCAACGCCGCGUGGUGGAUGAAGCCCUUCGGGGUGUAAACACUUUUUCUGGGGGAAGAUAAUGACGGUACCCCAGGAAUAAGGGACGGCUAACUACGUGCCAGCAGCCGCGGUAAUACGUAGGUCCCAAACGUUGCGCGAAUUUACUGGGCGUAAAGGGUCC
This 541-nucleotide ribosomal RNA is filed under the name uncultured Aquificales bacterium. RNAcentral describes it as "bacterial SSU rRNA". It matches the Rfam family "Bacterial small subunit ribosomal RNA", at positions 9 to 570 of the family's 1533-position model. Lineage: Bacteria; Pseudomonadati; Aquificota; Aquificia; Aquificales. The record is from RNAcentral.